CCUACGGGUGGCAGCAGUGAGGAAUAUUGGUCAAUGGGCGCGAGCCUGAACCAGCCAAGUAGCGUGAAGGAUGACUGCCCUACGGGUUGUAAACUUCUUUUAUAAAGGAAUAAAGUGAGGCACGUGUGCCUUUUUGUAUGUACUUUAUGAAUAAGGAUCGGCUAACUCCGUGCCAGCAGCCGCGGUAAUACGGAGGAUCCGAGCGUUAUCCGGAUUUAUUGGGUUUAAAGGGAGCGUAGAUGGGUUGUUAAGUCAGUUGUGAAAGGUUGGGGCUCAACCGUAGAAGUGCAAUUGAUACUGGCGGUCUAGAGUACAGUUGAGGUAGGCGGAAUGCGUGGUGUAGCGGUGAAAUGCUUAGAGAUCACGAAGAACACCGAUUGCGAAGGCAGCUUACUAAACUGCCACUGACAUUGAGGCUCGAAAGUGUGGGUAUCAAACAGGAUUAGAUACCCUUGUAGUC
RNAcentral lists this ribosomal RNA (460 nucleotides) under uncultured bacterium. RNAcentral describes it as "partial 16S ribosomal RNA". It matches the Rfam family "Bacterial small subunit ribosomal RNA", at positions 338 to 795 of the family's 1533-position model. The record is from RNAcentral.